Molecule: ribosomal RNA, 216 nt
Filed under: Glomeromycotina sp.
Lineage: Eukaryota; Fungi; Glomeromycota
Description: partial small subunit ribosomal RNA
Rfam family: Eukaryotic small subunit ribosomal RNA (bases 40-216)
Source: RNAcentral
GGGUCAGUAGGUUGGUAGUGCCACCGGUCCGUACUGGUCUCACUGAUUCCUCCUUCCUGAAGAACCGUAAUGCCAUUAAUUUUGUGUUGCGGGGAAACAGGACUGUUACUUUGAAAAAAUUAGAGUGUUUAAAGCAAGCUAACGCUUGAAUACAUUAGCAUGGAAUAAUGAAAUAGGACGAUCGAUCCUAUUUUGUUUGUUUCUAGGAUUGACGUA